RNAcentral lists this long non-coding RNA (234 nucleotides) under Lathyrus oleraceus (garden pea). Its description in RNAcentral is "Pisum sativum (pea) long non-coding RNA (PSAT_LNC030024)". Lineage: Eukaryota; Viridiplantae; Streptophyta; Magnoliopsida; Fabales; Fabaceae. The record is from RNAcentral.
GCAACCUGAAAAAAUACAAAAACGAAAAGAAAAAAAAACGGAAAACGAUUUUUUUUUAAAUAAAUAAAUAAAUAAAUAAAAAAUAUAUAAAUAAAUAUAAGAAAAAAAUCUCAGACUUGGACCUCUCUCAAAAGCCCACUAAGCUACCAAUAUCAGGUUAUAAAUUCAGAGUUUCAAUGAAACAAAAGAGAUUCUAUUCCUAUUACCCUGGAUGGAAAAAGAUAGUGAGAGAAG